UACGGAGGAUCCAAGCGUUAUCCGGAAUCAUUGGGUUUAAAGGGUCCGUAGGUGGACGAUUAAGUCGGAGGUGAAAUCCUGCAGCUCAACUGUAGAAUUGCCUUUGAUACUGGUUGUCUUGAAUCAUUGUGAAGUGGUUAGAAUAUGUGGUGUAGCGGUGAAAUGCAUAGAUAUCACAUAGAAUACCGAUUGCGAAGGCAGAUCACUAACAAUGUAUUGACACUGAUGGACGAAAGCGUGGGGAGCGAACAGG
Molecule: ribosomal RNA, 253 nt
Filed under: uncultured bacterium
Lineage: Bacteria
Description: partial 16S ribosomal RNA
Rfam family: Bacterial small subunit ribosomal RNA
Source: RNAcentral